This 689-nucleotide long non-coding RNA is filed under the name Gallus gallus (chicken). The record is from RNAcentral. Lineage: Eukaryota; Metazoa; Chordata; Aves; Galliformes; Phasianidae.
UGAGAAUCAGUUCUCAAUUGAGAAGCAAGUCCUAAAGCUUGUCUAUUAAGCUCCACAUUUGCCUGUAAGGACAGUUCUUCUGGCUGUAUACGGACAGCCAGAUUUGCAUCUCCAAAUCCCCCAUGCUGCACACUCAGUGUGGAGCUUGAUUUCUCUGCAAUCAAGUGAGAAGCAGGCUGUGAGUCUGCAUGUUCUCCAGGACGUGCACUCAAUUUUGACUCCUUUGGCUGCUUUUUAUGCUUUUUCUCUUUCUUCCUUUUCUUCUUCUUUUUCUUCUUCUUCUUGCUUUUGUGCUUUUUGUUUUUCUUUGAUUUUUUUCUAGGAAUUUCAUCUUCACCUUCAGCAGUAGAGCUUCUUUUAGUAGACUGAGUACUAUUGCUCACAGUAGUUUUGUCUACAUCUGAUUUGCUCUGCAGUUCUGUAUCAAGGGCUCCAGAGAGCACUUCCUCUAUUUUCUGCACUAUCUGAUCAUUCUGACGACUCCCAGCACCAGCAACAGUGUCAUCUGAAGGGUUGGCUUGCUCAGCUGGGAUUGUGUCACCAUUGGGCUGGCCUUCUACCUUUCCACCGCCGUGCUGCUGCUGCUGCUGCUCUUCCUGAAUCUCCCGGAAUUUAUUAACCACGAAAGAGCGAAAGAUCUGCUCGAUAUUAGUCGCCAUGACAGCCUUAGCGCGCCGGCCCCCCCCCGC